RNAcentral lists this ribosomal RNA (468 nucleotides) under uncultured bacterium. RNAcentral's name for it is "partial 16S ribosomal RNA". It matches the Rfam family "Bacterial small subunit ribosomal RNA", at positions 28 to 507 of the family's 1533-position model. The record is from RNAcentral.
GACGAACGCUGGCGGCGUGCUUAACACAUGCAAGUCGAACGGAAAGACCCUGCUUUUGUGGGGUUCUCGAGUGGCGAACGGGUGAGUAACACGUGAAUAACCUGCCCUUGACUUUGGGAUAACUUCAGGAAACUGGGGCUACUACCGUAUAGGAGAUCCUGCUGCAUGGAGGGGGUUGGAAAGUUUCGGCGGUUGGGGUUGGACUCGCGGCUUAUCAGCUUGUUGGUGGGGUAGUGGCUUACCAAGGCUUUGACGGGUAGCCGGCCUGAGAGGGUGACCGGCCACAUUGGGACUGAGAUACGGACCAGACUCCUACGGGAGGCAGCAGUGGGGAAUAUUGCACAAUGGGCGGAAGCCUGAUGCAGCAACGCCGCGUGCGGGAUGACGGCCUUCGGGUUGUAAACCGCUUUCGCCUGUGACGAAGCGUGAGUGACGGUAAUGGGUAAAGAAGCACCGGCUAACUACGUG